CCGAUCCUCCCUUUUUUGUGAGUACUCCAUGGUCCAUGGCACGGGGGUGGAAAAGAAGGGAGAAUAUUUACUCAGGAAGUGGCCUCAUGUGAGUGAUGUGGAAAUGUCUAGUUGGCAUGAUAAAGGCACCAAUUAAGUUGCAGGUCCUGGAGACCCUCCAGCACCAGGCAUGAAACCUGCAGUGGUUGCACUUUGGGCCAGUCAUGUGGCCUAGGGGAGGAGGACACUCAGGGAUUGGGGGUGUGGCUCAUUAUCAAGGGGCAUAGACUUUUCAAAGAAUGGACAAGUAAUAGCUCAGGUCAGUGACUGUGGCUCAGUUUCCAUCUUGUGAUGAGUGACAGAGCAUGUCCCCACCUGGGGGAAUGAGGUGCUAAAACAGCCCCACAGAAACCAGUCCUGCAGUAUCACCAGGGAGCCUGCUUUCUUCUUUGGGGAAAGGGGGGAAGGGAUGUGUGUGUGUUGAGUGUGUGCCCCACGAGGGGGAGGGGCUUGCCCAACACUCUGUGUGCUUUGCCCUCAGCAAUGACCCAGAGCUGCGGGUGGAAUUCUACACUGGGACAAAUGAGGACUCAGACAUCGCCUUCCAUUUCUGAGUGCACUUUGGCCAUUGUCUGGCCAUUGACAGCCAUGUGUGUAGGGCCUGGAAGUGUGAGGGGAGAUGCCACAAUGUGCCCUUUUAGGAUGGCAAGCCAUUUGAUCUGAGCAUCUUGGUGCUGGACAAUGAAUACCAGGUAAUAAUAAAUAGCCAACACUGUUGCAGCUUUGUCCAUAACUCCCACCAUGUUCUGUGAAGAUGGUGCAAGUGUGGAGAGAUGUCUCCCUGACCUCAAUGUCUGUCUGCAGUUGAUGCAGAUGAUCACACUCCUCAUUGUUGAGGAAUCCCUCUUUCUAUGUGACCAUAGGAUUUCCAGAGCCUACUAACAGCAUGAUCUCUCCUCACUGUUUCUGCUACACUUGGUCAUUAAAACAUCACC
This 974-nucleotide long non-coding RNA is filed under the name Homo sapiens (human). RNAcentral's name for it is "PREDICTED lncRNA (TCONS_00133319)". The record is from RNAcentral. Lineage: Eukaryota; Metazoa; Chordata; Mammalia; Primates; Hominidae.